Molecule: ribosomal RNA, 473 nt
Filed under: uncultured bacterium
Lineage: Bacteria
Description: bacterial SSU rRNA
Rfam family: Bacterial small subunit ribosomal RNA
Source: RNAcentral
AGAGUUUGAUCAUGGCUCAGAGUGAACGCUGGCGGCGUGCCUAAUACAUGCAAGUCGAACGAUGAAGCUUUUAGCUUGCUAGAAGUGGAUUAGUGGCGCACGGGUGAGUAAGGUAUAGUUAAUCUGCCCUACACAAGAGGACAACAGUUGGAAACGACUGCUAAUACUCUAUACUCCUGCUUAACACAAGUUGAGUAGGGAAAGUUUUUCGGUGUAGGAUGAGACUAUAUAGUAUCAGCUAGUUGGUAAGGUAAUGGCUUACCAAGGCUAUGACGCUUAACUGGUCUGAGAGGAUGAUCAGUCACACUGGAACUGAGACACGGUCCAGACUCCUACGGGAGGCAGCAGUAGGGAAUAUUGCGCAAUGGGGGAAACCCUGACGCAGCAACGCCGCGUGGAGGAUGACACUUUUCGGAGCGUAAACUCCUUUUCUUAGGGAAGAAUUCUGACGGUACCUAAGGAAUAAGCACCGG